Long non-coding RNA from Gallus gallus (chicken), 327 nucleotides. Lineage: Eukaryota; Metazoa; Chordata; Aves; Galliformes; Phasianidae. The record is from Ensembl.
AUCAGAGCUGAAGUGCAGGGCUACGGAAAACAUUCAGACUUCUUUUUUCCCAGCUGGAAUACACAAAGCUUUCUGAAAGGACCCUCUGGGUGGCAUUUCUCUAAUGAACAGUGAACUUGCUUUCCUAAGCUGUGUCAGAUUGUUACAAAGAAGACAAAGGAACUGUGCAUGCCUGUGCUUCCCAUAAUGAAACAAUUCUGGCAAACUCCUCAGCUAACCUGGAUUUUGAACUGGUGGAUGAUACUGAAGCUUACAACAGAAGUACAGUGGCCAAUUUUAAUCUCAUACCAUAUGGAAGUGAUUGUAUGCCAUCAACAGCAAAGGAAU